RNAcentral lists this ribosomal RNA (253 nucleotides) under uncultured bacterium. Its description in RNAcentral is "partial 16S ribosomal RNA". It matches the Rfam family "Bacterial small subunit ribosomal RNA", at positions 524 to 776 of the family's 1533-position model. The record is from RNAcentral.
UACGGAGGGUGCUAGCGUUGUUCGGAAUUACUGGGCGUAAAGCGGGUGUAGGCGGAUUGCUAAGUCGGGGGUGAAAGCCCAGGGCUCAACCCUGGAAUUGCCUUCGAUACUGGCAGUCUCGAGUGCAGGAGAGGUGGGCGGAAUUCCGAGUGUAGAGGUGAAAUUCGUAGAUAUUCGGAGGAACACCAGAGGCGAAGGCGGCUCACUGGACUGUUACUGACGCUGGGACCCGAAAGCGUGGGGAGCAAACAGG